GACGAACGCUGGCGGCGUGCUUAACACAUGCAAGUCGAACGGAAAGGCCCUUCGGGGUACUCGAGUGGCGAACGGGUGAGUAACACGUGGGUGAUCUGCCCUGCACUUUGGGAUAAGCCUGGGAAACUGGGUCUAAUACCGAAUACACCCUGCUGGUCGCAUGGCCUGGUGGGGGAAAGCUUUUGCGGUGUGGGAUGGGCCCGCGGCCUAUCAGCUUGUUGGUGAGGUUACGGCUCACCAAGGCGACGACGGGUAGCCGGCCUGAGAGGGUGACCGGCCACACUGGGACUGAGAUACGGCCCAGACUCCUACGGGAGGCAGCAGUGGGGAAUAUUGCACAAUGGGCGCAAGCCUGAUGCAGCGACGCCGCGUGGGGGAUGACGGCCUUCGGGUUGUAAACCUCUUUCAGUAGGGACGAAGCGCAAGUGACGGUACCUACAGAAGAAGGACCGGCCAACUACGUGCCAGCAGCCGCGGUAAUACGUAGGGUCCGAGCGUUGUCCGGAAUUACUGGGCGUAAAGAGCUCGUAGGUGGUUUGUCGCGUUGUUCGUGAAAACCGGGGGCUUAACCCUCGGCGUGCGGGCGAUACGGGCAGACUUGAGUACUGCAGGGGAGACUGGAAUUCCUGGUGUAGCGGUGGAAUGCGCAGAUAUCAGGAGGAACACCGGUGGCGAAGGCGGGUCUCUGGGCAGUAACUGACGCUGAGGAGCGAAAGCGUGGGGAGCGAACAGGAUUAGAUACCCUGGUAGUCCACGCCGUAAACGGUGGGUACUAGGUGUGGGUUUCCUUCCUUGGGAUCCGUGCCGUAGCUAACGCAUUAAGUACCCCGCCUGGGGAGUACGGCCGCAAGGCUAAAACUCAAAGAAAUUGACGGGGGCCCGCACAAGCGGCGGAGCAUGUGGAUUAAUUCGAUGCAACGCGAAGAACCUUACCUGGGUUUGACAUGCACAGGACGCUGGUAGAGAUAUCAGUUCCCUUGUGGCCUGUGUGCAGGUGGUGCAUGGCUGUCGUCAGCUCGUGUCGUGAGAUGUUGGGUUAAGUCCCGCAACGAGCGCAACCCUUGUCUCAUGUUGCCAGCACGUUAUGGUGGGGACUCGUGAGAGACUGCCGGGGUCAACUCGGAGGAAGGUGGGGAUGACGUCAAGUCAUCAUGCCCCUUAUGUCCAGGGCUUCACACAUGCUACAAUGGCCGGUACAAAGGGCUGCGAUGCCGUGAGGUGGAGCGAAUCCUUUCAAAGCCGGUCUCAGUUCGGAUCGGGGUCUGCAACUCGACCCCGUGAAGUCGGAGUCGCUAGUAAUCGCAGAUCAGCAACGCUGCGGUGAAUACGUUCCCGGGCC
RNAcentral lists this ribosomal RNA (1339 nucleotides) under uncultured Mycobacterium sp. Its description in RNAcentral is "bacterial SSU rRNA". It matches the Rfam family "Bacterial small subunit ribosomal RNA", at positions 28 to 1380 of the family's 1533-position model. The record is from RNAcentral. Lineage: Bacteria; Bacillati; Actinomycetota; Actinomycetes; Mycobacteriales; Mycobacteriaceae.